GCGUCUAUAUCCCCAAAGAGACAUCACUCUCCUCCUGAGAAUCCUUGUGAUCGUGAAUCUCCAUUCUGGGAUAUAGAUUUAAGAAGCACCCCAAAGGCUACUCCAAUGGGGUGGGAAACAGAAACCUGGGCCCACAAGAAGGAGUUAAGAGACAGUAAAGAAACCUGGAUCUGAGCAGAACUUGCUCAUGGAACACCCCUGACAGUGGAGGAAAGUGAAGACAAACGUUCCCCAGGGAGGCCUGGGGAUAUAUCCUGUGGCAUUGCAUCUCAGAAAUGAUAACCAAUUUGAAGGCUCUGGUUUUAGGAAAAAAGAAACCAUGCAAAUC
This is a long non-coding RNA of Suricata suricatta (meerkat), 328 nucleotides long. RefSeq lists it as uncharacterized. The record is from RefSeq and is a predicted model, not a curated record. The transcript has 2 exons. Lineage: Eukaryota; Metazoa; Chordata; Mammalia; Carnivora; Herpestidae.